Molecule: long non-coding RNA, 2513 nt
Organism: Esox lucius (northern pike)
Lineage: Eukaryota; Metazoa; Chordata; Actinopteri; Esociformes; Esocidae
Source: Ensembl
GCCCCUUUUACAUCAGCAGUUGUCACAAAGUGCUUUUACAAAACACCCAGCCUUAAACCCCAAGAGCAAACAACAGUAGUGUUGAAUUUCAGUGGCUAGGAAAAACUCCCUAAGAAAGCCAAAAUUUAGGAAGAAACCGAGAGAGGACCCAGGCUCAGAGGGGUGACCAGUCCUCUUUUGUCUGUGCAAGGUGAACAUAUUAAGAUUACAAUUGUAAUAAUUAAUAAAUGCGCGUGGGCUGAGUCUAAAGUCUAUUUAAACUUAGUCCAGGUCGAAAGCAUGACCAGAUGGACAUGAAAAGGGUUAGGGUUGACAGGUGUGGUUCGCAUUGAUUGUGUGGUCGGGUGGAGGUUGACAUUGAUUGGGUGGUCGGGUGGAGGUUGACAUUGAUUGUGUGGUCGGGUGGAGGUUGACAUUGAUUGUGUGGUCGGGUGGAGGUUGACAUUGAUUGGGUGGUCGGGUGGAGGUUGACAUUGAUUGUGUGGUCGGGUGGAGGUUGACAUUGAUUGUGUGGUUAGGUGGAGGUUGACAUUGAUUGUGUGGUCGGGUGGAGGUUGACAUUGAUUGUGUGGUCGGGUGGAGGUUGACAUUGAUUGGGUGGUCGGGUGGAGGUUGACAUUGAUUGUGUGGUCGGGUGGAGGUUGACAUUGAUUGUGUGGUCGGGUGGAGGUUGACAUUGAUUGGGUGGUUAGGUGGAGGUUGACAUUGAUUGGGUGGUUAGGUGGAGGUUGACAUUGAUUGUGUGGUUAGGUGGAGGUUGACAUUGAUUGUGUGGUCGGGUGGAGGUUGACAUUGAUUGUGUGGUCGGGUGGAGGUUGACAUUGAUUGGGUGGUCGGGUGGAGGUUGACAUUGAUUGGGUUAACUACUGACAUUGUACCAAUGGAUGUCUGGAGAGGUUCUUCCUUCUUUAGGAGGGUUAGGAGGAGUGGGAGUGAAUGGGAGGGUUAGGAGGAGUGGGAGUGAAUGGGAGGGUUAGGAGGAGUGGGAGUGAAUGGGAGGAUUAGGAGGAGUGGGAGUGAAUGGGAGGGUUAGGAGGAGUGGGAGUGAAUGGGAGGGUUAGGAGGAGUGGGAGUGAAUGGGAGGGUUAGGAGGAGUGGGAGUGAAUGGGAGGGUUAGGAGGAGUGGGAGUGAAUGGGAGGGACUGAAAAUCAUUGAAGGGAAAACAGGAUGAAAAGGUGUGAGACAAAUGUAGAAGAAAAUAUAGAUUCUGCUAAUGCUAACAAUAACAACCAAUGUAAUAAAGCUGUGUGAACAUGUUACAGAUUAUCAAUGGUUGUUUGAGGAGCUGCAUGGAUCCCUGAAUAAAUACCAACAACAAUAUAAAUGUGGUUAUUGGAAGGCCUUUAUGGACACAGAAUGACAAGCCAGUCAUAUCAUAUAAACUUUCAUUCUCAUGCAUAAAACUGCUGAUACAACCUGUUGCAAACCUCCAGUAUCACAACAAUUAUAGAUAGUAAAACGCAUUUCAGACCUUCAUCAGGUGUUGUUUUUGAUGGAUGUCCUUAAGUUCCAUGAGAAGUUACACUUUGCAAGGUCAGUAAUGGGGAUCCUUAUGGAGACAAACAGUCUAAAUGGUUCUACUAACGCCGCUUUCAUUAAGUGCAGCUAAAUACACCUGAUUCUAUUCAUUGGAAAUUGGAAAGAUCUAACACACCACGUUAACAAUUCCUUUAAAGCCAUCCCACCCAGUCUGCCUUCUUAAUAAGAUAAUCUGUGGCCCUCAAAAAAAACUUGAAAAUAUCUGUCUCCAUUAAGGCUAUCGUCUUGUUGUAGAUGUCUUCCAUUUCAGGCAAUGGUUCGGUGCUCUCUGGACAAUGCUCUAAACACACACACACGUACACACACGUACACACACACGUACACACACGUACACACAGAGGAGGAGAAUCAGAAAGACCCACACAGUCAGAUAAUGAAACAUGACAGUUUAUAGUAAUCACUGUAAUAUUGUGGCCGAUGUGGGAUUGUCUAGCCCAUUGGCUGUCAGAAGUUCUAUCAGUCUCUCCGAUAGUGCCUGACACAGCAUAUCCAAGGGCACCCUCUAGUGGUGACUCUAUGCCAUGCCGCUAACAGCCACCAGGAUGUGUCCCGCUAGUCGCGAAUGUGCUGUGGGAGACAGUCAGCUGGAAAGAAAAUGUUUUUUGUGUCGUUUCAUCUUUAGUAUUUUUUUAAUCCUCAGCACAUUGGUAGAUUUUUACCCGUGUUUAUUACUAGGUUAAAACAUUUAAACGCCAUUGAGUUGCUAGUUCACAGCUGUAAAGAUUGCAUAACAUUAUUUGCUGCAGCUGCAAAUAAUGUUUGGUGUUGACGUCGGCCCAAAUUAAAUCCAUAACGGUUGUUCUAUAUAGCAGCCUAUGUAUUUCAUAUUUGUGUCAUUAAGGAUUCUUUUACACUGUACUUUCAUAGUGACUGUUGACAAAAAUAGAUAUUUUUUCUUUCGAAUUUAAUAUAUUGAAACCCACAGGCCAAAUAAUUACUGACACACUAAACAAAUUCUGAAAGAAGAUCAGAA